This is a long non-coding RNA of Frieseomelitta varia, 1372 nucleotides long. RefSeq lists it as uncharacterized. The record is from RefSeq and is a predicted model, not a curated record. The transcript has 4 exons. Lineage: Eukaryota; Metazoa; Arthropoda; Insecta; Hymenoptera; Apidae.
CGUUCCCGGGUCAGUCGCUUUCGGCGAACACGCACUUGAACCGGACGGUCUUGAGAACGUUCGAGAUCUAUCGAUCGAUUCAUGAGAAGACGAUCGAUCGGAAGGACGAGAAAGAUCCAUGGAUCCCGUGAUUAUCCCCGCGAAUAGAAAUGUCUGGCUUGAGAAUGAUAAAAGGAUGGAAUUUAAAUGAAGGACGAUCUUGGUGGUUUUUGGAUGAAGCAGUCAGAUGAAUAGAUAAAUUCAUUGUUUCCAAGAUUCGAACCUAACCUUAAACUAUCUUCAAACGGAAUUCAUGGACCAAGGGCAGAAGAAGUUCCGAGAAUUUUCAAUUUUCCCCAUAUCUUGAACUUGAACGUCAAUCGGACUUCGAUGGAAGUUGAAGAUGAUUGAAUGCGGGUGAACGCGGACGCGCGCGCACGAUACUCGCGCUUGCAGGAUAUCCGUGGAUGCAGGAGGCGACGGCAACAGGGAGGAUGACGGCGAGCGCGCAAGAGCGAGAAGUCGGUAACUUAACUGGCCUAAAUGGGUUUAACUCGAUGUGAUUUUGCUGGCGAACCACUAAAUUGAACGAAUACGAACUAAACUGAACUCAACUAAGCUAAUCAUAUCACAUUACUAGCGUUAUUAGCCGAGAGACGAUAUAAGUGAAGGUCCGGUGGUGCCGGGCUGCAGUAACGGGUCGCCUCCUGUACUGACCCUCUGCACGACUUUCUUUUCGACCCCUUUUUCUUGCUCGCACAGUCGGAUAUUUCGUGUCUUAUUAGUGAUUUUGUGAAACUUUGUGGAAGGUGAAUUUCUUGGACAAAACGGAUGAAAAGAUGUGUACGAGGUCUAGAUGGGUACGAUGUUGCCCGAUUCUGACCGAACGGCGAUGCUACCCUGGCAGUGCAACAGGAAACACGUGCGCUCAGUGAAAGUGACAGCUCGCAGCGCGCCAAAUUUGAAAUCGGAGGGACUCGAAAUAGAGAUUCCGAUUUAAUACGUUGUUCGUGCAAGUAACGUGUUUUUUUAUAAGUGUGCAGUGAUUUUUGGAUAAAUUUUUGUCAGAAAAUCAUGUAAUUUCUUCUUAUUUGGAUGUUAUAUACACUGAAAAUAGAUGUGUGUCUAUUUUAAAUUAAAACGAAUACGUUAUAGAGUCGUAUAUUGGUAUAAUUAUUAUACAAGUUAUUGGUACAAUUAUUUUUUAAUGAUAAAGUAUAGACUUGAAUUAGAAUGAUUCUCAAUUUAAGUGAUUUUUUGAUUUCGCUUUGUGAUAUGAUACAUUAGUAUAAAUUCCGUAAAUGUUAAUUCUGCGAAGGUAUAUUAUUUAAAAUCUUCGUAAAUAUUAUAUGAUAUAUAUAAGUAUGAUAAUAAACAAUUUUUUACAUUUAAA